AUACGGGAGGCAGCAGUAAGGAAUAUUGGUCAAUGGACACAAGUCUGAACCAGCCAUGCCGCGUGAAGGAUGACGGCCCUACGGGUUGUAAACUUCUUUUGUACGGGAAAAAACCCCUGAUCGUGAAUCGGGGCUGAUGGUACCGUAAGAAUAAGCAUCGGCUAACUCCGUGCCAGCAGCCGCGGUAAUACGGAGGAUGCAAGCGUUAUCCGGAUUCAUUGGGUUUAAAGGGUGCGCAGGCGGAAUGAUGAGUCAGUGGUGAAAUCCUACGGCUCAACUGUAGAACUGCCAUUGAUACUAUCGUUCUUGAGUACAUUUGAAGUGGGCGGAAUGUGUCAUGUAGCGGUGAAAUGCUUAGAUAUGACACAGAACACCGAUCGCGAAGGCAGCUCACUAAGUUGUAACUGACGCUCAGGCACGAAAGCGUGGGGAUCAAACAGGAUUAGAUACCCGUGUAGUC
RNAcentral lists this ribosomal RNA (460 nucleotides) under uncultured bacterium. Its description in RNAcentral is "bacterial SSU rRNA". It matches the Rfam family "Bacterial small subunit ribosomal RNA", at positions 339 to 795 of the family's 1533-position model. The record is from RNAcentral.